UACACGUCCCCAUCCAACCCAGCCUGGCCAGUCAGAGCCGGAUGGUGUGACUGGUCAGACAGGUGGUCCGGGGUGGCCAAUGAGAACCAGCUGCAGAACCAGAGCUUCUGCUACUAGGAACCUGAGAUCCUGCCUGCAAAUGAUGUCAGAGAUGAGAAAGUAAAACUAAGAGGUGGUUCCUGAUAACAUCAUCUGACAACUGGAGUAGUCCUGCCUUCGGUCCUUGAAGUCUUCAAUUACAUGGCCCAUGACUCCAAGCCCCGCCCCCAGGACCUUGCACAGACACGUGUCCAAUAGCUGCGCGCAGAGAAGCUCCGGGGCCAGGCCUAAGUAGAGGCGCGACGCCACCAGUCCCGCCAGGGCAGCACCAGACAU
Mustela lutreola (European mink) is the source of this 375-nucleotide long non-coding RNA. RefSeq lists it as uncharacterized. The transcript has 3 exons. NCBI's taxonomy places the organism in Eukaryota, Metazoa, Chordata, Mammalia, Carnivora, Mustelidae. The record is from RefSeq and is a predicted model, not a curated record.